GACGAACGCUGGCGGCGUGCUUAACACAUGCAAGUCGAACGGAAAGGCCCUGCUUUUGUGGGGUGCUCGAGUGGCGAACGGGUGAGUAACACGUGAGUAACCUGCCCUUGACUUUGGGAUAACUUCAGGAAACUGGGGCUAAUAUCGGAUAGGAGCUCCUGUUGCAUGGUGGGGGUUGGAAAGUUUCGGCGGUUGGGGAUGGAUUCGCGGCUUAUCAGCUUGUUGGUGGGGUAGUGGCUUGCCAAGUGUUUGGAGGGUAGCCGGCCUUGGAGGGUGACCGGCGACAUGGGGACUGCGGGACGGCGCAGUGGGGAACGGUGGGCAACAGGCGGGAAUAUGGCACAGUGAGCGCGAGCCUGUGGCAGCAGCGUCGCGGGUGGGAUGACGGCCUGCGGGGUGAGAACCGCUUUCGCCUGAGACGAAGCGGGUGUGACGGUAAUGGGUAAAGAAGCACCGGCUAACUACGUG
RNAcentral lists this ribosomal RNA (468 nucleotides) under uncultured bacterium. RNAcentral's name for it is "partial 16S ribosomal RNA". It matches the Rfam family "Bacterial small subunit ribosomal RNA", at positions 28 to 507 of the family's 1533-position model. The record is from RNAcentral.